Triticum aestivum (bread wheat) is the source of this 5528-nucleotide long non-coding RNA. RefSeq lists it as uncharacterized. The transcript has 2 exons. NCBI's taxonomy places the organism in Eukaryota, Viridiplantae, Streptophyta, Magnoliopsida, Poales, Poaceae. The record is from RefSeq and is a predicted model, not a curated record.
UCCGGUAAGGAACCGGUUGGCGCCAGGCCGGCUCCCCCUCCCGCGCCGGCUAUAAAACGCGCCCAGGUGCGCCCUCUCCUCCCCGCGCUCCGGCCCCGUCUCUCCUCCGACCUUUCUCGUUCGUGACGUGCCGCGCCUCCUCGCGUUUGAGCGACUGUUUCCUUCCCCUUCCAAUUUCUCUUUUCCUCGUGACGAUUCGUCGCGUCUGAUUUUAUUUCAUUCACCCGCCGUCGCCGUUGCCUUGAUGUGCUCGCAGGGGAUUCGAAUUCGACGACUUGUCUCUCCUCCGCUUCCGUGCGAGUUCGGGAAGCGAUCGAUCGGGGGAUUCAUCCGUUUGGUUUGCGAGUCUAUCUCAGAAUCUGUUUCGCGUGUCCGCUUCUGUUUGCAACUGUGGAUCAUGUGUUUCUCGUCGUGUUCGCAUCCGCGCGUGCAGGUUGAAGGAUCGUGCGUGGUUUUUGGAAUUGGGGCUUAAUUAUGGAGCCGGAGGCCGAGGCAAGGUCAGUUUCCCGUGCUCGUUCAGAUCGCUUCCUUGGUUCCGUCACCUGCGUUCGUCCGUGAUUCCAGAUUUGAAAUGAAUAUGGCCCGUGUGAUCUUCUGGUUCCCCGAGGGCUGUGGUUUAUUCCGUGUCAUCCGUUAGUGCGGGGUGUGUUAAUUCGAGGCCCUCGUGGAGGAUUCUUGUUGUACCGGCUGAUCUCGGUUUUGGUAUGUCUUUGUCCUCUCACCCUAUGUAGAUGCAGAGGAAGCCAGAGGGUGCGCUAGUUCUACAGAGGUGGAGGUUUGAUCUCUUCUCAUGAUUAUUUUGAUUCAUUGGUUGAGGUUCAGCGGCUGUCCUGAUAUGGUCAGAUCUUCUCGGGUGAUGAAGCUUAGGAUCUCUUACCAACCUGAACCUGCGAUCCGCGUUUAAUAUUUAUAAAUCCCUCCCAAUUUUAGUUUCUUGGUCUGCACACUAGUCAACGGCAAUUCUGAUCUGAAUUCGUUGGUUCUCCAGGAAUUAUAAUUUGGAUUACACAGCAUAGCAGGAGCCGGGAGCAACAUCUGCGUUUGGAUGAUUAAUUGCCCCCUCUAUUUAAUUCCUCCAUCUACACAGUUCAAUCUUAGUCGGUUUUGAUUUAGAUUUGUUGAUGGUUGUCCAGAAGUUGGGAUUAUACGGCUUAGCGGGAGCGACUUGUCAUCUUCCUCACCUGUGUUUGGACGAUCAUUCCCUUUCUGUUCAUUUUCUUUUCUCCACAGUUCAGUUAGUCUUCACACAACACACAAUUCUGAUUUGGAUUUUGUAUUUGUUGCUGGUACUCCAGAUAUUGGAAUUAUACGGCUUAGCGGGUGGCCCUAUUUUCCCUCGUCACGGCGGUUCUUCUGUGGCUCGACAUUUUCUUACUCGUCAAUAAUAUAAUUGGAACAUACCAGACAAGUUUCUCUGCCUUAGUUUGUCAUUCUCAGCUCUUGCAGACACCAUCUUGGAAGGGAUAUAAUUUGAAUCGGUGUUGUGCUGUCUACCUGACCUUCCCAGCCCAACUUCCUCAUAUAGCAUUUACCUCUUCCUCGUUUGAAGCAUGCUUCAGUUGAGCCUAGUUUCCCCCUAAUUUACAGAGACGUAUCUUGCUCGUUGCAGGUUUGACGAAUGCAAGUCCAACCUGAUGCUGAGUUGAAUCUGUUUGCAGUUCUUUCUAAAUCUAAUCAAUUCAUUAUUACUUAGAUAACCUUUAAGAUCUUCUCACUAGGCAAUAUUUUGAAUUCAGAUUUAUCUCAAAGGUUCACGAAUGGAGCUUCAAACUUGGCAAAACCUACAAACAAAAAAGAGACUCCUCCAUUUUUAACUCUUGCCUCUUUUUCUUUAUAUCACGUAGCUACUUUGUUCAUGCCUUUGAUUUAGGCUUUUUUGCUUCUGCCCCUGUGAUUGCAGAUUUAUUUUAGCCCAGAGAGUGUUGGCAGUGAGUCGAAAUCUGUUAAAAUCGUUUGGUUUGCAAUCUAUCUCUAUGCGUUUCAAUUUGUUAUCUGUACACUUAUCCUGUCGACUGCAGGCCAUAUUUAGGAAGUUUGUGCUUAUGGGCAAAUCUCUUUACAGUGAGUCAGGUCAGUGUUCUAUCAACGGUUUGUUUGGUUUAGUUGUGUUCCUCCACACAUUGGUUGCAGGAUUGGAUCUGGAAUGUGGAGAUCCCUAUGAUGUUGUAUGUCGGAAGGGGAUUUGAGCAGGUCAGAUUUAAAUGGCUAUCGCCGGUGUGGUCUUCUGGUUCUCAUCACGCAUCAUCAGCUAAUAUGAGGUGGAUUGGAGGUCCUGGUAGAUUCUUAUUGUAGCAGCUGAUCGCACUCUUGGUGUGUGUUUGUGCUCCUUUGCUUGCAGCAGAUGCAGGAGUGUAGUAGUUCUGCACAGAUGAAUCAUAGGGUGGAGGUUUGGUUUCUGUUUGUCGUUUUGAUUGAUUGGAUAAUGAAGCUUAGGAUUCUUGCCAACCUGAAACUUGUGAUCUGCAUUUGGAUAAUGAAUUUCAUCUCGAUUCAAUUUAUUUGGUCUGUGCAGUACAAUUUAGUCCUUGGCAGUUCUGAAUCCAUUUGUGGUUUUCCAGAAAUUGAGCUUAACAAGGUUUAGCAGGAGCAACCUAUCUUCUUGUUGAUCAGUGUUUGGAUGAUUAUGAACCCCCUAUAUUUAAGUCUCUGCACAAUUCAACUUUAGUCCCCCACAGUUUGAUUUGGAUCUGUUGCUGGUUGUCCAAAUAUUGGGAUUAUAUGGCUUAGCGGGAGUGACCUAUCUUCUUGCUGACCUGCGUUUGGAUGAUCAUUACUCUCUGCUUAAUUUCUUCUCAGCUCAAUUAGUUGUCCAACAAUUCUGAUUUAGAUUUGUUGCUGGUUCUCCAGAAAUUGGAAUUAUACGGCUUAGCGGGUGAUCCUAUGUUUCCUCAGCAUGGCGGUUCUUUCUGUGGCCCAACAUAUCUGACCUUUUGUCCUCCCUUGAUAAUUGAACUUUCUAGAUAUUUGUUUCUUAGCCUUCCUUGGUAAUUCUUGGCUCUUGCAGAUGCUGGCUUGGAACCGAAAUAAUUGGAACCAGUGUUGUCUAUCUGACCUUCGUGGCCGAGACAGGCUUACUUACCCUUUACCUCUUACUUAACCUUCACCUCAGCAUUUGAUGCAUGCUUUAGCUGAGCCUAGUUUUCCUCCUAUCUUAUAGAAAGGUAUCUUCCUUGUUGCAGGUCGUAGUUGAUGAACUCAAGUCGAACCUGGUGCUGAGUUGAAUCUGUUUGCAGUUCUUCUAAAUCUACUAUUUCCUCAAGUCAUCAUAACUUAGAUAACCUUUAAAAUCAUCUUACCAGGAAAUAUUUUGAAUACAGAUCUGCAAAGGUUCAACAAAGGAGAAUCAAACUAAUGGAACAUCCUACAAUGAAAAAGACUAUUUUAACCCACCUCUUACUUUUUUGUUUCACGUAGCUACUUGCUUGUGUCUUUAAUUUAUGUUUUUCUUUCUACCCUCCCUUUGGUGUUUGCAGAUUGAGCCCAAACCAUGCUGGUUGUGAGUCGGAAUCUGUUAAAUCAUUUGGUUUGCGGUCUAUCUCUCUUUCUGGAUGGAUUUGUUGUUUGUACUCUUGAUCCCUGUGCUGGUCUUCUGCGUGUUAUCAGUUGCAGGAUAUAUUUAGGAAGUCUGGGCCGCAGGAUAUUUUUGGAUAUGUUGGUUCUCCAGAAAUUGGAAUUAUAUGGCUUAGCGGAGAGACACAUCUUGCUCUGCUUUGCGUUUGGAUAAUUAUCACUCCCUCUGUUUUGCUCUUUCGUCUCCACUGUUCUGUUUUGGUUUCCCACAAUUCUAAUUUGAACUAUUUGUUGGUGGCUCUCCAGAAAUUGGAAUAAUACGCCUUAGAAGGCGGUCCUAUUUUGCAUCGUGGCAGUUCCUUCUAUGGCUAAAACUUUUCAACCUUUUUACUCUAUAAUUGAACUCUCUAGACCUUAGGUUUUCUUUGCCUUGGUAAUUCUCAGCUCUUGCAGAUACCGACUUGGAAAGGAAUCUGCAGUUUGGAACUGGCGUUGUUGUCGUCCAUCAUCCAUACCUGACCCUAGACAGGCUUUUACUUGUUCCCGCUCAUCGUUUUAUCCAUGCUUUAGCUAUUUAUAUAUAAGCAGCAUUUCCCCUAACCAAAAAUUUAUAGAAAAGGCCUCUUGCUCGCUGCAGGUUGUAGUUGAAGAACUCCUUUCCAACCCGAUUCAUAUGCAAAACAAAUAUAAGGAUAAUCCAGAGCUUUCAACUAAUGGCACAUCCUACAACCGAAGAAGACUCUUACCUUCCUAUUUUCUUUAUUUCAUUUAUUAGUUACUUGGCCAUCGCUUUGAUAUAGGUUUUUGCCCCUGCCCUUCCUAUGGUUGCAGAUUGUUCUUUAGCCCAGGCCAUGUGGGCAGUGACUAGCUCCCCAUGGUUGUUAUCUGUACUCUUGAUCCCUGUGCUCUCUAGGUCUUCUGUGAGUGUGGGUUGGCAAGAUAUAAUAGUUAGGAGUUUGGGCCCAAACCGCUCUGUACAUGGAGUCAGGUCAGAUUCUUGUAGACAGUCUGUUUGUUUAAUUUGUUAUGGUCUCUACAAUUUAGCUUGCAGGACUGGAUCUCGAUCUGGUCUGGAAAUGAAGCUUCAUAUGGUGUGUGAACAUAUGGUGAAGGGUACUUGAGGCAGGUCAGUUUCCCAUGUUUGGUCACAUUGAUUUGCUGGAUUCCUCAUCUGUGCUUGGUGACGUCAGAUUUGAGUGGCUAUACCUUAGUUCCUUGAUUUAUGUUUGUCUGAUGGCUGUUUGGGAGCUUCGUUCUGGAUGGAGGAAUCUUCCUCGACCACAAAAUAAAAACUUAAACCUGGACUCGAUGCUUGUUUCAACUGAUUUCCCAGAUUUUAUUAUGGUCUGAUUUUCCUUGAAGAAACUAUAAGUAUGCCUGUCAUUUGGGCCGUUCAUUGAUUUGCAUUAUUGAAGUUUUUAUUGCAAGAUUGUAGAGUUGGGUAGUCAGUCAGCGCUGGGACUUGGUGAAAGCAAACGGGCUUCCCUGAUGGUUUUGACUUCUGAUUAGUGAUCCUGAAGCAUAAUGAUAUGGUCUUUGUGGUAGUUUUCAGUUUGAACUUGCAUUCAGUGGCCUCAUAUCUUUGGUGCAGCUUGGAGUUGGUAGUGUGCACAUCUGAUUCUUUCAACUGUCCUGAAGCAUCUUACUUGGUUUCUGUUCUGCCAUCUUACUGGUUACGGUAUCUUCUUCAACUUGCAUGUGGUUUGGAUGGAAUAUGAUCUCAUCUUCUGCUUGAAUCAAGAAAAUGCUAGAAGUCUCAAACAAGGGUCCGAAAUGGAAAUAUCAGUUCGUACUCAGUUUGUAUAGAAGAUUAUCGAAGUUUGAUUUGACUAUAAAUUACCUGGUUACCAUACUGUUUCAGGAAGUUUGGUUUUGAUAUUUGGCUGCUUGUAUCUUUCGACUUGCAAAUUUAUCACCCAAUAGGAAGUAAAGAUCGUAUGUACAUGAGCUCUGAAUGCAGUAAAAAUGUUAAUGCAUAUAUAUAUAUAUGAAUUGGUCAUACUUGGAUUUGUUCUACA